Molecule: ribosomal RNA, 305 nt
Filed under: uncultured bacterium
Lineage: Bacteria
Description: bacterial SSU rRNA
Rfam family: Bacterial small subunit ribosomal RNA
Source: RNAcentral
CCUACGGGAGGCAGCAGUGGGGGAUAUUGCACAAUGGGGGGAACCCUGAUGCAGCGACGCCGCGUGGGUGAAGAAGCGCCUCGGCGCGUAAAGCCCUGUCAGCAGGGAAGAAAAUGACGGUACCUGAAGAAGAAGCCCCGGCUAACUACGUGCCAGCAGCCGCGGUAAUACGUAGGGGGCAAGCGUUAUCCGGAUUUACUGGGUGUAAAGGGCGUGCAGCCGGAGAGACAAGUCAGAUGUGAAAUCCGCAGGCUCAACCUGCGAACUGCAUUUGAAACUGUUUCCCUUGAGUAUCGGAGAGGUCA